This 1348-nucleotide long non-coding RNA is filed under the name Macaca mulatta (Rhesus monkey). Its description in RNAcentral is "lncRNA (ENSMMUG00000056303.1)". Lineage: Eukaryota; Metazoa; Chordata; Mammalia; Primates; Cercopithecidae. The record is from RNAcentral.
UCCGGCCGCGCGCGGGCGCAGGGAGGCUAGCAGAGCUGGGACCCGCUCCGCGCGCAGCCGGUGGGGCAGAGCAGCAGGCGGAUUAUGCGCAGGGAGAAAGAAGUUCACCCCGGCGCGUCUCAGAUUCCCAAGUGCGGCUCGCUCAGAGCCUCUGCCCCGCCCCCGAUUAUAUGCCUUUUUUUUUUUUUUUAAACCAACAAUCCUGAUGGACUGAAAGACAGGAAGAGUGAAGAGGGUGGGUUGCGGGGUGUGGGGAGAGAAACCCAAUUUCCUCUGAUCAAACGAUUUAGGUGGGGAUGCCUAUUUGAGUUCCUUCUCCUUUGGGGUGUGUGUGAAGGGGGCAGUUAAUUAAACACUUAGAUUCUUUCUGGCGCGCCUAGCCGCUCUGGGGAUCCGUUUGGACUCGAUCCUAUCUCGUGUAAUCCCACAGGAUGAUCUGAGUCUCUGCCCCGGAACCGGAGGAGUGAUUUUCCGAGGAAGAAGCCAAAGUUCAGCCUCUAGUCCAUUCCCUUCCCCGCCUCGACGGCUCUGGUCGUGUCCAUGAAAACUCAGUGUGGGGGGUCGUGCCCGCGAGAACCUCAGCCCACCGCAAUGUCCAGAGCCUGACCCAAAAAAAGCAAAACUGCCAGUCUCAGAAUUUUUCAGAACACCAAGUCUUUUCGAUUUUCGUUGGGAAUAAAGCAAAGGAAUACUCAGCAAAAAUGGAGCCGAUGAAAAAGAGGAUGCAAGGAAAUAAAGGCAAAUGGAGGAGGAAACGGUCUAAAUCCAGGAAAAUGUUUGGCUUCAGCACUGUGCUCUGUAAUUCUGACUCAGAUCUCCCCACGCUGUAGGUACUUUCUCCUCUCUAGAUGCCCAGGCAGAGUUCCUGAGCUCAGAUCACUCAGGAAACAAGGCUGUUGCUUUUGAAAUAAUUCCACUUGCUAGUGGUUUGUUUUUGUUUUGUUUUGUUUGUUUGUUUUUUUGUUUUUGAGACGGAGUUUCACUGUUGUAGCCCAAGCUGGAGUGCAGUGGCGCGAUCUCGGCUCACUGCAACCUCCGCCCCGCCCCCGUGUUCAAGCGAUUUUCCUGCCUCAGCCUUCUGAGUAGCUGGGAUUAUAGGUGCCUGCCACCACGCCCAACUAAUUUGUGUAUUUUUAGUAGAGACGGGUUUUCCUCAUGUUGGCCAGGCUGGUCUCGAACUGCUGACCUCAGGUGAUCCGCCUGCCUCGGCCUCCCAAAGUGCUAGGAUUACAGGCAUGAGCCACUGAGUAAGGCUGCAACUUCUUUUUAAAAAUAGCAUUUUUGUGUAUUGAAUUGUGUCCUUCAAAAUUUCGUGUUGAAGUCCUUACCUGCAGUACCUCAGAAUGCC